Long non-coding RNA from Haliotis rufescens (red abalone), 245 nucleotides. RefSeq lists it as uncharacterized. Lineage: Eukaryota; Metazoa; Mollusca; Gastropoda; Lepetellida; Haliotidae. The record is from RefSeq and is a predicted model, not a curated record. The transcript has 2 exons.
AGUUUCACCACUGAUAUCGCAACUAUCAUUGCUAUUUUUCUGCUGCUGUGUUCUUUGUAUUUUCCUCAUCUCCGAUUAUAAACACCAUGAGCUCCUACGCCCAAGGUGGAAGACGGGUUAUACUCAUGCAGUGGCUAUCCAGAUGUAUCACGGAGUUCCAUGUCAAAGAACAAGUCGAUGGAUGUAUCGCGCCUGUUGUAUAAAUGUAUCAGUGACGUGUAAUAAAACUUACUGUGAAAGCUAAA